This 433-nucleotide ribosomal RNA is filed under the name uncultured bacterium. Its description in RNAcentral is "partial 16S ribosomal RNA". It matches the Rfam family "Bacterial small subunit ribosomal RNA", at positions 29 to 507 of the family's 1533-position model. The record is from RNAcentral.
AACGAACGCUGGCGGCAGGCCUAACACAUGCGAGUCGAGCGAGGACUUCGGUCCUAGCGGCGGACGGGUGAGUAACGCGUGGGAACGUGCCCUUUGCUUCGGAAUAGCCCUGGGAAACUGGGAGUAAUACCGGAUGAGCCCUUUGGGGGAAAGAUUUAUCGGCGAAGGAUCGGCCCGCGUUGGAUUAGGUAGUUGGUGGGGUAAUGGCCUACCAAGCCGACGAUCCAUAGCUGGUUUGAGAGGAUGAUCAGCCACACUGGGACUGAGACACGGCCCAGACUCCUACGGGAGGCAGCAGUGGGGAAUCUUAGACAAUGGGGGAAACCCUGAUCUAGCCAUGCCGCGUGAGCGAUGAAGGCCUUAGGUUUGUAAAGCUCUUUCAGCUGGGAAGAUAAUGACGGUACCAGCAGAAGAAGCCCCGGCUAACUCCGUG